AUAGAGAAAGCCGAAAAUCUUUAAGAGUAAGCA
Molecule: regulatory RNA element, 33 nt
Organism: Mucilaginibacter sp. PPCGB 2223
Lineage: Bacteria; Pseudomonadati; Bacteroidota; Sphingobacteriia; Sphingobacteriales; Sphingobacteriaceae
Rfam family: DUF805b RNA
About the family: Bacteroidetes, Chlorobi (1 example), Proteobacteria. Lineage (Flavobacteria)
Source: Rfam